UGGGGAAUUUUGGACAGUGGGCGCAAGCCUGAUCCAGCCAUGCCGCGUGAGUGAUGAAGGCCCUAGGGUUGUAAAGCUCUUUCAGCGGGGAAGAUAAUGACGGUACCCGCAGAAGAAGCCCCGGCUAACUUCGAGCCAGCAGCCGCGGUAAUACGAAGGGGGCUAGCGUUGCUCGGAAUCACUGGGCGUAAAGCGCACGUAGGCGGCUUUCUAAGUCAGGGGUGAAAUCCCGGAGCUCAACUCCGGAACUGCCUUUGAUACUGGAAAGCUUGAGUCCGGGAGAGGUGAGUGGAACUGCGAGUGUAGAGGUGAAAUUCGUAGAUAUUCGCAAGAACACCAGCGGCGAAGGCGGCUCACUGGCCCGGUACUGACGCUGAGGUGCGAAAGCG
RNAcentral lists this ribosomal RNA (389 nucleotides) under uncultured bacterium. Its description in RNAcentral is "bacterial SSU rRNA". It matches the Rfam family "Bacterial small subunit ribosomal RNA", at positions 355 to 761 of the family's 1533-position model. The record is from RNAcentral.